RNAcentral lists this long non-coding RNA (4280 nucleotides) under Lathyrus oleraceus (garden pea). RNAcentral describes it as "Pisum sativum (pea) long non-coding RNA (PSAT_LNC008622)". Lineage: Eukaryota; Viridiplantae; Streptophyta; Magnoliopsida; Fabales; Fabaceae. The record is from RNAcentral.
ACCAACAACACACUUAUUCUUCUUCAUCUUCAUCUUCUUCACCUAAUUGUCACAUUACUCGUACCCAUUCACAUUCUCAUCCAUUUCCAGAACCGAUAACGACGGCAAGUCGAAGACCUCCGUGUUCCUCCCAUUGGUCACUCCCAACUAAUGCCUCUAAGGUAUUCUUUUUAUUCAUCUUCAAUUUACAAUAUUUACAACUGCAAUGUUCUUUAAGAAUUAGUUGAAUAUUGCUUUAGUUAGUUAGAGUUAGUUAUGAUCAGUUGAAAAUCGGUUAGGAUUUGUUAUAUAUAAUUUAAGCCUGUAACUAACUUGUAACUAAUUCUAAACAAUUCCAGCGGCGGAUGUGUUUUUGUUGAUUUUUAGGAAUGAGAGUGGCUUAGGGUUACUUUGCAUAAAUGGUUGGAUGAUGAAUACUGUCCUGAAGAAACCAAUGUGGAGAUAAGCAGAGUUGCUGCCAAAUCCUAUUACAAUUCUUUGAUACGGAAACAAAACUGAUUUGAGUGACAUUUUGUUGAACAUGGCGCAUGAAUUGGAGUCUAUUUCUUAUAAGGAAAGUUUUCAUGGCGCGUUCUCGUCUGCAAAUGCUGCUGUUAGCCUUAUUGCUCAACGGGUCGAAACAUUCUGCCACCACAAUUGAAUUUUAUAGCUCUAAAAUCCACAUGGUUUGAUUUUUUUUCAAUGUUAGUAGGAUUGAGUUAACUUCUUCUAUUGUAUAGUAAUGUCUUGUAACUUGUUUCUUUGUUAUAGAGCUGCAUGACUCCUCUUUGAUGGCUCUUUCUUGUAGCCGAUUGAGUGUUUGAAACCUUGUGACUUGUGAAUUUUAUGCCAUAUGGUCUUUAUUUCAGUUUCCUUUUCUGUGCUAGCUGAAAAAUGAAAUGGAUCUCAUGAAGCAGUGUGUAUAGUCAUGUUAUAUUUGCACUGAAAUUAAAUAAGCUGGUAUGUAUAUAAAAACUAUCGAUACAGUGGAGUUUAUUGUUAUCAUUCUGCUUUAGGUUGUUGUCGAGUAACAGAUUUCCUUUUCGGUAUGAUCAUAUUCAAAGAAGUUUCAUGUAACUGGUGGUCAACCUACAACUCCUGUCUGUAAUUGAAUGUAUUCAAGAACUAGCAUUCAGCUAUCAAACCAAAAUGGUCUCUCAGAGACUUUAAGAAGAGAAAGUUAACCAACUCAUACCUUGAAUGGAACUUUCUUAUGAAUGAAUGAAUUCCUUAAAACAUUAGCAAAGUAUUGUUUAUGAAUAAUCACUGAUUAAGACACUUAAUUAUGCGAUGAAAGGUCCUACAUGGACCCUGAGAAUUAAAGCUUUGGUCAUCUAUUCAAACUUGAUUGUCACUAUUAGCAUCAUUUUAUAUACUAAAGUCAAAAGGUUGAUAUGAUCAUAUAAGGGUUCAUAUUCUUGUAUAUCAAUAAAGUAAAACCCCACAUAAGUUCAAGUUCAAGAAUAAGCUGUUUUUAUAAGCUAUGCAUUCCCCAAUAAGCUCUUUCAAUCGUCCCCUUACUAAACAAGAUAUAAAAAUUGAAAGGCGAAUGUGUUCAUGGUUGCUUUUCACCAUUGUUAUAUUUUCUUAACAUGCCUUGAACAAACUUCUACUGCACUUGAUCUGGUGCAGGAAACUCCAAACUCUUAAAAGAUGUCAAACCUCCAUCCACAACUAAAUUAUGUCCACUAACAUACCUAGAUCAUCGGAUGCAAGGUAAAGUGCAGCGUUAGCACAUCACUCGGUUCACAAUUUGCUCCAUUUAGUACACAACAUUACGAACAAUUUCUACAAGUCGUCGAGACUCAAGAUGCGGAUAUAUCUGAUUCAUUUCGUCCAUGACAAAAGAAGUAGGUAUGGCACAUAGGCGAUAUGCAAUUGACUCGGAUUCCAUGCCUACAUAGCUUCUGAAGAGCUAAAGACUUAAACAAUGCCUAUAACCGCAACUUCGAUACCGAGUAAGUAUGCUGCGCCUAUCCUCCCAUCACACCAGUGACACUAGCAGUGCUGUAANAUAUAUAUAUAUAUAUAUAUAUAUAUAUAUAUAUAUAUACACACACACACACACACACACAUGUAGUAACUAACUAACUAACUAAGUUUGAAUUAAUACAACCGAAAGAAUAUGGGAUUUUGAAAAUUAUGAAGGAUUGAGUGAAAAGAAUGAAAAUAUUUUGGUUAGAAGGAUUUUGGAGGAUUUAUUUUUAUUCAUAACAUUGAAAAUCGUCUAAUUUAGAGAAACUCAAAAUUUGUAUUGGAGAAGGAUUUUAGAGGACUUAAACAAAUUGUUCAAAUAUAAUUUUUGUUGUUAUACUAUUUCAAAACAUUCAUUUUUUAGGGAGACUUCUACAAUGUUCACUACUAUCAUAUCAUAUUGAGGAGUGAGACUUCGAAGUACCUUUUCAACCUUCAUUUUCUCUGUCAAAGUCUCUCCAUAAUUCUUCAUCUGGUUGGUUAAGUCUUAAACCCUUGUGAAGAAAUCUGAUAGCGGUUCGCCCUCUUUCAUAUGCAGCAUUUCAUACUACUUUUUCAAAGACUGAAGGCACACCUUCUUGACCUUUACAUCUCCACCGUAGUAUUUUUUCGAUAAGUCUCAUGCUUCUUUCGAAGUUGCAACAUGAUCUAUUUUGUCAGACACUUUCGCUUCAACACAUUGAAGAAUAUAAAAUAGGGCCUUAUGGUCUUUCUUCUUGGAUUCCUUAUAUGUUGCCUUCUGAGCAUCUGUCGCAUUUUCUACUAGUGGUUGAAGCCCAUCUGCUACAUACUUAGACACAUCUUGAACAUUGAAGAUAACUCUCAUCUAAAUGCAUCAUUUUUCUCAAUUCUUGUCAUAAAGAACUGGAAGAUUUGCAGGGAAGUUAUUGUCGCCUAUUCCAACCAUAGCUACAAUCACUAUUGAAUCCGAAUCAGAACCGGUCUCGUGAUAUCAUAUGUUGGUGUUAUUACACCUUGUGAAUGCAAAUGUUAAUUGAGAGAAAGAUAGAGGAAGUAUUGUAGUGGAAGAGAAGAAGAAAGGGAGUAAUGAAUAUUGAAUAAGAGAAGUGAAGUUAGGAAGUGAUUACAAAGCUACAUAAGUAAUUAGUAUAUAUACACACAUGUAGUAACUAACUAAUUAACUAAGUUUGAAUUAAUACACAGAAACGAGAUUGGGAUUUUGAAAAUUACGAAGGAAUUGAGUGAAAAGAAUGAAAGUAUUUUGGACGAUUUAUUUUUAUUCAUAACAUUGAAAAUCAUCUAAUUUAGAGAAACUCAAAAUUUGUAUUGGAGAAGGAUUUUAGAGGACUUAAACAAAUUGUUCAAAUAUAAUUUUUGUUGUUAUACUAUUUCAAAAAUUAAAAAUACGUUAAUGAUAAAUAUUAUUUUAUUAUUUUGAAUAAAUAAAAUUUCAAAAAAUAUUAAAUAUUUUUUAUAUAUUUAAAAACAACAUUUUUCCAAGUCCUCCAUUUCCCCUCUAAAAGUGUAACAAGAUUAAAAUCUAAAAAAUUGUAACAAUUAAAACAAAAUUAAUUUUUUUUUAGUCUAACAGUUUAAAACACACAAAUUAUAGUUCAAAAAGUGAAUUAGUGGGAUGACAAACUCAUAACUCUAUAGUCAUGUUUUUACACAGUGACCAAUUGAGCUCAUUUUACAAGAAAUAAAAAUUAAUUGGGCAGGGUAGUUUAGCAGAUAUAAAUUGCUGCUAUAUAGUUCAUAAACAAAUUCUAGUUGAAAUUUAUAAAUUAACAAUUUAAAAAAAUAUAUUUUCUAAAAAAAUAAAUCAGAAUUAUUGCAUUGACCUUGGACCAGACCUCAUCCAGAUUUUUUUUACAAAGAAUAUAAUGAAUGGUUCAUAUUGAAUAGUCUCGGUGCAUCACUUUGCAGUUUUCUUAUAGCGAAGAAUAGAAUACAACAAUCACUAUGAUAAUGAUGCAAAGCUUAAAACUGAAUCUAGUUCAUUCCACAACUCUAUGCCCCCGCAGCAUCACUUGUAUCACCCCAUUCUCACCAUCCUCCUCCAUUACUGUAACACAAACUCACCACCACCAACAACACACUUAUUCUUCUUCAUCUUCAUCUUCUUCACCUAAAAUUGUUCACAUUACUCGUACCCAUUCACAUUCUCAUCCAUUUCCAGAACCCGAUAACGACCAAGUCGAAGACCUCCGUGUUCCUCCCCAUUGGUCACUCCCAACUAAUGCCUCUAAGGUACUCUUCUUUUUAUUCAUCUUCAAUUUUACAAUAUUUACAACUGCAAUGUUCUUUAAGAAUUAGUUGAAUAUUGCUUUAGUUAGUUAGAGUUAGUUAUGAUCAGUUGAAAAUCG